UCUUAGCUUUCUGGUUUGUUUUUUUUUCCUGCAGUUUCUUGACUGCAGGGUGCUGCUCGGCUCGGACUCCACCAUCUUCAGGGUCGUCCCCUCUGUCCCUGAGGGGUUCUGCUCCUAACAGGAACGUGGUGAGACCGCCACAGGGAGUGUAACUCACCGUUGGAAUCCGGCUUGGCUUUCUCCUCCUUCAGGUGCAAGCUGCUGAGCUGUGGGCGAGGAAAAACAGCGGCGUCAGGACCCUGGUACCCUGCAGAGGCUCCGUGUCACCGAAACCUCCUCAGGACACCAAGCGGAGGGGCCGGGAGCCUCGUGCUGUGCUCCUGGUGUGUGAGCAGCCCUCAGAGCCACAGUGAGCAAACACGGAGCAGGCAGCCGGCUACGUGGGCUACUCUGCGGCUGAUUUAUUUGUCUGAUCAGGACCGUAAAUCCUCCGGCUUCGGGGCUGAAGUCAGCCUCCGGGGAAGGGAGGAAACUCGGCUGGGGUCUGCUGGCAGGGUUUGUGAAUUUCCCUCUGAAAACAGGUCCUAGGUGGGGCCGAAGUGGUUCUCAGUCUGCUCACCCAUCCCACAAGAAGGACUUGUGCUGGAAAACCUCAGCCCUGCUGCAUGUCCCCUCCCUGGGGAGCCGUGCAGCCCUGUCCCCGGUGCCUCAGUUUCCCCCUGACCAUUCUCCCCCUUUUUAAGCCCCAGCCGCCCCGUGUGGUGCUCGUGUCCGGCACCAGCACAUCCUGCUGGAGCAUCCUCACUUGUAGGGCAACCCCAUGGGUGUCCUGUGUGCCCCACAGCAGCGAGCAGGGGGCGAGGAGCUGCGUGUGGGGCUUUGAUUUCCCCUAUGAGGGAAGCAGACGAGCAAAGUGCCUUUUCCCUUCCCGCUGGGCUCCGUGCUCGUCCUCCAUCCCUUCCCCAUACCCCCGGGAGCAGGAGGGGGCCGCGGGAGGCGAUUGUCAUGGUUACCUCUCCCCGACAGACACAAAUGGCUCCAGCUGACCAUGGGCACCCACGGGGCUCCUCCAAGGCUGCAGCCACGCACCGGGGGCAGCCAGCGAGCCGGGACCCAACCUCGGCGUGCUCGCACGUGUGUGUCCACCGAGAGACAAAAGCAGGGGCUGAAGCAGUGCCGGCCGCCCUCCGAGAGCCCUCCGGCCGCCUUCCAGACCCCCCCAGCCCAGCUGCAGGAGCUUGCAGGAGGGGGGGGGAAGUUGCUCCAGCACCCCCACCACCCCCCCAGCCACCCACCCACCCCCUCUCCCAGG
Molecule: non-coding RNA, 1252 nt
Organism: Anas platyrhynchos (mallard)
Lineage: Eukaryota; Metazoa; Chordata; Aves; Anseriformes; Anatidae
Source: RefSeq, a predicted model, not a curated record